This 99-nucleotide transfer RNA is filed under the name Acidobacteriota bacterium. RNAcentral's name for it is "Acidobacteria bacterium (activated sludge metagenome) tRNA-Sec". It matches the Rfam family "Selenocysteine transfer RNA". The record is from RNAcentral. Lineage: Bacteria; Pseudomonadati; Acidobacteriota. RNAcentral also lists the same sequence under 1 other name.
GGAGGCGCAUCCUGUCCGGUGAUGGGCGCGGUCUUCAAAACCGUCAGCGGGUGCGCGAGAGCGUGCCUGGGUGGGUUCGACUCCCACACGCCUCCGCCA